UACGUAGGGAGCAAGCGUUGUCCGGAAUCAUUGGGCGUAAAGCGCGCGUAGGUGGCCCUGUAAGUCCGUUGUGAAAGUCAAAGGCUCAACCUUUGAAAGCCGAUGGAUACUGCAGGGCUAGAGUACGGAAGAGGCGAGUGGAAUUCCUGGUGUAGCGGUGAAAUGCGUAGAUAUCGGGAGGAACACCUGUGGCGAAGGCGGCCCCCUGGUCGGAUACUGACGCUGAGACGCGAAAGCGUGGGGAGCAAACAGG
RNAcentral lists this ribosomal RNA (253 nucleotides) under uncultured bacterium. RNAcentral describes it as "partial 16S ribosomal RNA". It matches the Rfam family "Bacterial small subunit ribosomal RNA", at positions 524 to 776 of the family's 1533-position model. The record is from RNAcentral.